This 373-nucleotide ribosomal RNA is filed under the name uncultured bacterium. RNAcentral's name for it is "bacterial SSU rRNA". It matches the Rfam family "Bacterial small subunit ribosomal RNA", at positions 525 to 896 of the family's 1533-position model. The record is from RNAcentral.
ACAGAGGGGGCAAGCGUUGUUCGGAAUUACUGGGCGUAAAGGGCGCGUAGGCGGCCUUCUAAGUCAGACGUGAAAUCCCCGGGCUCAACCCGGGAACUGCGUCUGAUACUGGAGGGCUUGAAUCCGGGAGAGGGAUGUGGAAUUCCAGGUGUAGCGGUGAAAUGCGUAGAUAUCUGGAGGAACACCGGUGGCGAAGGCGGCAUCCUGGACCGGUAUUGACGCUGAGGCGCGAAAGCCAGGGGAGCAAACGGGAUUAGAUACCCCGGUAGUCCUGGCCCUAAACGAUGAAUGCUUGGUGUGGCGGGUAUCGAUCCCUGCCGUGCCGAAGCUAACGCAUUAAGCAUUCCGCCUGGGGAGUACGGUCGCAAGGCUG